CUUAUCCAAGGUUUGGGACAUGGAUUGGAAGUAACAUUAAUUACGCAUAGAGAGAAGGUAUUGGUUGCUUCGCAUGGUUUGGCUGGCGAACUUUGGGAUCCAUCCAUAGACAUUUAUCUUCCUCGGCGGUAUUCUCUUAAUGAUAUUGAAGGGAAAUCACUUUGCAAAAGCUGUUUCAGUGAAAUCUCACGAAGCACAAGCCAUUUUUAGGUAGGAUGUAUCCGGAAGUUGAUUCAGUUAUUGACAAUCUUAAGAAAGCAGUUCAUAUUGCUCAGGGCAGAGGAUCCCAGGUAAUGGGAAACAAUGUGUCUGCCGUGAACUCAACUGUGCGCACAUCGAAUGAAUUAUAG
Lolium rigidum is the source of this 350-nucleotide long non-coding RNA. RefSeq lists it as uncharacterized. NCBI's taxonomy places the organism in Eukaryota, Viridiplantae, Streptophyta, Magnoliopsida, Poales, Poaceae. The record is from RefSeq and is a predicted model, not a curated record. The transcript is spliced from 4 exons.